GAUGAAGAACGUAGCGAACGUGCGAAACGUAAUGUGAAUUGCAGAAUUCAGUGAAUCAUCGAAUCUUUGAACGCAUCUUGCGCUCCUUGGUAUUCCGAGGAGCAUGCCUGUUUGAGUGUCGUGAAUACUCUCAACUUCAACCCUUUUUUCGGAAAGGGAGGAAGGUUGGACUUGGGUGUUUGUUGAAGUGCGAGCUUCGACUCAUCCUAAAUGCAUUAGCGAUCUGCCUCGAUCACACACAAUGUGAUAAUUAAAACUAAAGCAUUGUUUAAUGAUCAAGUCGAGACUGCUUCUAACUGUCGCAAGACAAUAACGUGCAUACAUUUGUGCAUGUCAUUUGACCUCAAAUCGGGUAGGACUACCCGCUGAACUUAAGCAUAUCAAUAAGCGGAGGA
RNAcentral lists this unclassified non-coding RNA (395 nucleotides) under soil metagenome. RNAcentral describes it as "partial contains 5.8S ribosomal RNA, internal transcribed spacer 2, and large subunit ribosomal RNA". The stretch from base 1 to 121 matches the Rfam family "5.8S ribosomal RNA", at positions 35 to 154 of the family's 154-position model. The record is from RNAcentral.